Long non-coding RNA from Haliotis rubra (blacklip abalone), 93 nucleotides. RefSeq lists it as uncharacterized. The transcript is spliced from 3 exons. The record is from RefSeq and is a predicted model, not a curated record. Lineage: Eukaryota; Metazoa; Mollusca; Gastropoda; Lepetellida; Haliotidae.
UACUGCGUUGUGCACGUGCAUCCCGUGCGUUGUGUUUAGGGGUGGUGAUAAGGAGAAAUGCUGGUGCGUUCAUAAGAAUAGUCUUUGAAAUGU